RNAcentral lists this transfer RNA (72 nucleotides) under Camelus bactrianus (Bactrian camel). It matches the Rfam family "tRNA". From Rfam's summary of the family: Transfer RNA (tRNA) molecules are approximately 80 nucleotides in length. Their secondary structure includes four short double-helical elements and three loops (D, anti-codon, and T loops). RNAcentral also lists the same sequence under 1 other name. Lineage: Eukaryota; Metazoa; Chordata; Mammalia; Artiodactyla; Camelidae. The record is from Rfam by way of RNAcentral.
GAGGGUAUAGCUCAGUGGAAGAGUGCAUGCUUAGCAUGCACGAGGUCCUGGGUUCAAUCCCCAGUACCACCA